CCUACGGGAGGCAGCAGUCGAGAAUCAUUCACAAUGGGGGAAACCCUGAUGGUGCGACGCCGCGUGGGGGAAUGAAGGUCUUCGGAUUGUAAACCCCUGUCAUGUGGGAGCAAAUUAAAAAGAUAGUACCACAAGAGGAAGAGACGGCUAACUCUGUGCCAGCAGCCGCGGUAAUACAGAGGUCUCAAGCGUUGUUCGGAAUCACUGGGCGUAAAGCGUGCGUAGGCUGUUUCGUAAGUCGUGUGUGAAAGGCGCGGGCUCAACCCGCGGACGGCACAUGAUACUGCGAGACUAGAGUAAGGGAGGGGGAACCGGAAUUCGCGGUGUAGCAGGGAAAUGCGUAGAUAUCGAGAGGAACACUCGUGGCGAAGGCGGGUUCCUGGACAUUAACUGACGCUGAGGCACGAAGGCCAGGGGAGCGAAAGGGAUUAGAUACCCCGGUAGUC
Molecule: ribosomal RNA, 446 nt
Filed under: uncultured bacterium
Lineage: Bacteria
Description: partial 16S ribosomal RNA
Rfam family: Bacterial small subunit ribosomal RNA
Source: RNAcentral